This 75-nucleotide transfer RNA is filed under the name Pseudomonadota bacterium. RNAcentral's name for it is "tRNA-Gly". It matches the Rfam family "tRNA". Rfam says of the family: Transfer RNA (tRNA) molecules are approximately 80 nucleotides in length. Their secondary structure includes four short double-helical elements and three loops (D, anti-codon, and T loops). The record is from RNAcentral. Lineage: Bacteria; Pseudomonadati; Pseudomonadota. RNAcentral also lists the same sequence under 1 other name.
GCGGGAGUGGUUCAGGGGUAGAACGCCACCUUGCCAAGGUGGAUGUCGCGGGUUCGAAUCCCGUCUCCCGCUCCA